RNAcentral lists this ribosomal RNA (451 nucleotides) under uncultured organism. RNAcentral's name for it is "partial 16S ribosomal RNA". It matches the Rfam family "Bacterial small subunit ribosomal RNA", at positions 333 to 800 of the family's 1533-position model. The record is from RNAcentral.
ACACUCCUACGGGAGGCAGCAGUGGGGAAUAUUGGACAAUGGGCGCAAGCCUGAUCCAGCCAUGCCGCGUGAGUGAUGAAGGCCCUAGGGUUGUAAAGCUCUUUCACCGGUGAAGAUAAUGACGGUAACCGGAGAAGAAGCCCCGGCUAACUUCGUGCCAGCAGCCGCGGUAAUACGAAGGGGGCUAGCGUUGUUCGGAUUUACUGGGCGUAAAGCGCACGUAGGCGGACUAUUAAGUCAGGGGUGAAAUCCCGGGGCUCAACCCCGGAACUGCCUUUGAUACUGGUAGUCUUGAGUUCGAGAGAGGUGAGUGGAAUUCCGGGUGUAGAGGUGAAAUUCGUAGAUAUUCGGAGGAACACCAGUGGCGAAGGCGGCUCACUGGCUCGAUACUGACGCUGAGGUGCGAAAGCGUGGGGAGCAAACAGGAUUAGAUACCCCUGUAGUCCCAUGA